This 377-nucleotide ribosomal RNA is filed under the name uncultured bacterium. RNAcentral describes it as "bacterial SSU rRNA". It matches the Rfam family "Bacterial small subunit ribosomal RNA", at positions 523 to 898 of the family's 1533-position model. The record is from RNAcentral.
AUACGUAGGGGGCAAGCGUUAUCCGGAAUCACUGGGCGUAAUGGGAGCGUAGGUGGUUUGGUAAGUCAGAUGUGAAAGCCCGGGGCUCAACCCCGGGACUGCAUUUGAAACUAUCAAACUAGAGUGCAGGAGAGGUAAGUGGAAUUCCUAGUGUAGCGGUGAAAUGCGUAGAUAUUAGGAGGAACACCAGUGGCGAAGGCGGCUUACUGGACUGUAACUGACACUGAGGCUCGAAAGCGUGGGGAGCAAACAGGAUUAGAUACCCUGGUAGUCCACGCCGUAAACGAUGAACACUAGGUGUUGGGGAGCAAAAGCUCCUCGGUGCCGUCGCAAACGCAUUAAGUAUUCCACCUGGGGAGUACGUUCGCAAGAAUGAA